UACGUAGGCAGCAAGCGUUGUUCGGAAUUACUGGGCGUAAAGAGUGUGUAGGCGGUGCUCUAAGUCUGUUGUGAAAUCUCCCGGCUUAACUGGGAGGGUGCGGCGGAAACUGGAAUGCUCGAGUAUGGGAGAGGUAAGCGGAAUUCCUGGUGUAGCGGUGAAAUGCGUAGAUAUCAGGAGGAACACCUGUGGUGUAGACAGCUUACUGGACCAUCACUGACGCUGAGACACGAAAGCGUGGGUAGCAAACAGG
RNAcentral lists this ribosomal RNA (253 nucleotides) under uncultured bacterium. RNAcentral's name for it is "partial 16S ribosomal RNA". It matches the Rfam family "Bacterial small subunit ribosomal RNA", at positions 524 to 776 of the family's 1533-position model. The record is from RNAcentral.